AUUGAACGCUGGCGGAAUGCUUUACACAUGCAAGUCGAACGGCAGCACGGGGCAACCUGGUGGCGAGUGGCGAACGGGUGAGUAAUACAUCGGAACGUGCCCAAUCGUGGGGGAUAACGUAGCGAAAGUUACGCUAAUACCGCAUACGAUCUACGGAUGAAAGCGGGGGAUCGCAAGACCUCGCGCGAAUGGAGCGGCCGAUGUCAGAUUAGGUAGUUGGUGGGGUAAAGGCUCACCAAGCCAAUGAUCUGUAGCUGGUCUGAGAGGACGACCAGCCACACUGGAACUGAGACACGGUCCAGACUCCUACGGGAGGCAGCAGUGGGGAAUUUUGGACAAUGGGCGCAAGCCUGAUCCAGCCAUGCCGCGUGAGUGAAGAAGGCCUCG
RNAcentral lists this ribosomal RNA (387 nucleotides) under uncultured bacterium. Its description in RNAcentral is "bacterial SSU rRNA". It matches the Rfam family "Bacterial small subunit ribosomal RNA", at positions 30 to 419 of the family's 1533-position model. The record is from RNAcentral.